RNAcentral lists this ribosomal RNA (891 nucleotides) under uncultured bacterium. Its description in RNAcentral is "bacterial SSU rRNA". It matches the Rfam family "Bacterial small subunit ribosomal RNA", at positions 60 to 945 of the family's 1533-position model. The record is from RNAcentral.
AGUCGAGCGGAGAUGAGGUGCUUGCACCUUAUCUUAGCGGCGGACGGGUGAGUAAUGCUUAGGAAUCUGCCUAUUAGUGGGGGACAACAUUCCGAAAGGAAUGCUAAUACCGCAUACGUCCUACGGGAGAAAGCAGGGGAUCUUCGGACCUUGCGCUAAUAGAUGAGCCUAAGUCGGAUUAGCUAGUUGGUGGGGUAAAGGCCUACCAAGGCGACGAUCUGUAGCGGGUCUGAGAGGAUGAUCCGCCACACUGGGACUGAGACACGGCCCAGACUCCUACGGGAGGCAGCAGUGGGGAAUAUUGGACAAUGGGGGGAACCCUGAUCCAGCCAUGCCGCGUGUGUGAAGAAGGCCUUAUGGUUGUAAAGCACUUUAAGCGAGGAGGAGGCUACUGAGACUAAUACUCUUGGAUAGUGGACGUUACUCGCAGAAUAAGCACCGGCUAACUCUGUGCCAGCAGCCGCGGUAAUACAGAGGGUGCGAGCGUUAAUCGGAUUUACUGGGCGUAAAGCGUGCGUAGGCGGCUUUUUAAGUCGGAUGUGAAAUCCCCGAGCUUAACUUGGGAAUUGCAUUCGAUACUGGGAAGCUAGAGUAUGGGAGAGGAUGGUAGAAUUCCAGGUGUAGCGGUGAAAUGCGUAGAGAUCUGGAGGAAUACCGAUGGCGAAGGCAGCCAUCUGGCCUAAUACUGACGCUGAGGUACGAAAGCAUGGGGAGCAAACAGGAUUAGAUACCCUGGUAGUCCAUGCCGUAAACGAUGUCUACUAGCCGUUGGGGCCUUUGAGGCUUUAGUGGCGCAGCUAACGCGAUAAGUAGACCGCCUGGGGAGUACGGUCGCAAGACUAAAACUCAAAUGAAUUGACGGGGGCCCGCACAAGCGGUGGAGCAUGUGGU